ACGGAAGGCAGCAGUGGGGAAUAUUGGUCAAUGGGGGCAACCCUGAACCAGCGACGCCGCGUGAGUGAAGAAGUAUUUCGGUAUGUAAAGCUCUAUCAGCAGGAAAGAAAAUGACGGUACCUGACUAAGAAGCCCCGGCUAACUACGUGCCAGCAGCCGCGGUAAUACGUAGGGGGCAAGCGUUAUCCGGAUUUACUGGGUGUAAAGGGAGCGUAGACGGUAUUGCAAGUCUGAAGUGAAAGGCGGGGGCUCAACCCCUGGACUGCUUUGGAAACUGUAGUACUAGAGUGCAGGAGAGGUAAGUGGAAUUCCUAGUGUAGCGGUGAAAUGCGUAGAUAUUAGGAGGAACACCAGUGGCGAAGGCGGCUUACUGGACUGUAACUGACGUUGAGGCUCGAAAGCGUGGGGAGCAAACAGGAUUAGAUACCCUGGUA
RNAcentral lists this ribosomal RNA (434 nucleotides) under uncultured Lachnospiraceae bacterium. Its description in RNAcentral is "partial 16S ribosomal RNA". It matches the Rfam family "Bacterial small subunit ribosomal RNA", at positions 341 to 792 of the family's 1533-position model. The record is from RNAcentral. Lineage: Bacteria; Bacillati; Bacillota; Clostridia; Lachnospirales; Lachnospiraceae.